This 322-nucleotide ribosomal RNA is filed under the name Streptomyces albidoflavus. RNAcentral's name for it is "bacterial SSU rRNA". It matches the Rfam family "Bacterial small subunit ribosomal RNA", at positions 1 to 325 of the family's 1533-position model. Lineage: Bacteria; Bacillati; Actinomycetota; Actinomycetes; Kitasatosporales; Streptomycetaceae. The record is from RNAcentral.
UUCACGGAGAGUUUGAUCCUGGCUCAGGACGAACGCUGGCGGCGUGCUUAACACAUGCAAGUCGAACGAUGAACCGCUUUCGGGCGGGGAUUAGUGGCGAACGGGUGAGUAACACGUGGGCAAUCUGCCCUGCACUCUGGGACAAGCCCUGGAAACGGGGUCUAAUACCGGAUAUGACCGUCUGCCGCAUGGUGGAUGGUGUAAAGCUCCGGCGGUGCAGGAUGAGCCCGCGGCCUAUCAGCUUGUUGGUGAGGUAGUGGCUCACCAAGGCGACGACGGGUAGCCGGCCUGAGAGGGCGACCGGCCACACUGGGACUGAGAC